RNAcentral lists this long non-coding RNA (4239 nucleotides) under Chlamydomonas reinhardtii. Its description in RNAcentral is "long non-coding RNA (CREI_LNC000427)". Lineage: Eukaryota; Viridiplantae; Chlorophyta; Chlorophyceae; Chlamydomonadales; Chlamydomonadaceae. The record is from RNAcentral.
GUCACGGUGCGGCCCUGGCCCUUGAGGUGCGCGUAGCGGUGCGACCAGUUGACGGGCAGCGCCAUCUCGCGACCCUUGAGCGGCACCCACUCGUCGUUGGCGGACAGCUCGGCGCUGUCGUCGUCCGCGGUGAAGAAGCCGCGCGGGCAGCACACGGUGGCGGCGCUGAUGCGCGCAAUGAGGGCGCGCAGGUAGUUGGCCUCGUUGCCGGGGAAGGCUGGGAAGGCGGACACGGGCGCGUCCAGGCGGCCGGUCAGGUAGCGGCGCAGCAGGCGGCUGGCCUUGAUCUUGGAGGGUGGGAGGUGGAGGUGGGUGGAACGGCGUGAGUUUGCGGUGCGGGGUCAUGUUAACGGGUCUGCGGCACACAGGGCGGCUAGGGCCCAAACACGCCACGCAGCCACAAGCAUACACACUACACACACAAUCGCGUCGCGGUGUGCGGUGGCGCUCGCCCACGCACCUGCUCGGGCGUGACGUAGGGCAGCUGCUGCAGCGGGCCGCCCAGCGUGUUGGACACAAAGUAGAUGUAGGCGUUGACGCCCUCGCCGUACGGCUCCAAGGGGAUGGUGCCCUCUUUAGUAGGAUGGGGGAGGUGGGGCAAGGCGACCGUCAUAACGCAGGCCCAAUGCUGGAGAGGAGCUAGGGGGCAUGGUUAUGGAGGACAGCUGUACGAUAUUGAGGCGUGCGCGAAGGCGCAACCCCUUUGCCCGGUAGGCGGUCCCUCUAGCACCGCUGUAGGCCUAAGCCGCCUCCUCCACACGCAGACCGCCGCCCUCCGCAGCGACGCUCACCUGGUGCCUCGGGCAUGUCCGGGUUGCUCUGCAGCGUGGUCUCAAACACGUAGUAGUCGGCCUGCGUGCCGAAGAACUUGCCGAAGAAGCGCACCGUAGAUACGCCCCUGCACGGCGGCAGCCGGGAGGCCAGGCCAAGGCAUCCUUCAGUCCCGUUGACGUAAAGCGCUUCCAGCGCCCUCAGCGCUUCCCAGAUUCCUAUUCGGACUUCCUGCCGUGCCCCUCUCCGCACCCCUCGUCAAUCGUCACAGCCCCCGCCUUCUCCGCACGCCCACGUACUCUCUCAUCGCCCCACAGUCUGCGUACGCGCGCCCCAAUGGCCGGGGUCCAUUGCACCCCGUGCCAUCUCGCGUCCAAUCGCUCAAGCCGUACAGACCGCCCCGCCGCACCCCCGCUCCACCCCGCCCCGGCCCGCGCCCGCCCGGCCGCCUCGCACCUCUUGGCGUCCUCCCCCAGCCUCUUGACCGCCAGCAUGGCCGCGUACAUCUCCUGCCGGCCCAGCCCCACACCCAGGCCGUCCAGCAGGUCACCGUCGCCCUCCACGUCCUCGCACUCGAACUGGAUUAAGCACGAUCGGGGGAAGGGACAGAGGGCGAGGUCACCCUCAAACCAAUGCCCGGCCCGGAUCAUGGCGCAAUGCAGGCACGCGGGUCGUGCAGUUUACAAGAACGCCUGGUUUCUAUCAUCUGUGCGGCGGCCCCCGUGUUGCGCACCCCUAACGCCAUGCAAUACUGUAGUUGCCACCACCUGUUGCACCCCAGUCUCGCAAGCCCCCCACCUCGUUGGGAGCAUCCGGAUCGAUAGGUUCCCCUGACUCGGGGUCAAGCACUGGCUCUGGGUCCCUGCAGCGAGCACGCGAUAAGGGCGUCAAGCCGGGGCGUGCACCAGGGGAACGAGCGCGGGCCACGGCCGCGGGGCCAGAUAGGCCAACCUCCUUUUCACCUUGGGUGCACGCGUCCCCCAUUCGGCAAUCACAUUCCCUGCCAGUUGCCUAAUCUCAUAGCUACUCCUCAGAGGACCCAGUCCCGAAGCUUAGGGCCUACCCGAAUAGGCUCGCCUUCGCCACGGCAGCUGCCGCAGCUGCAGCUGACUGCACAGCGACGAAGCACGGUAACACACACCAGCGUGUCAGGCAGGCUGCAGGUACGUGAGACGGCACCACACAUGACACUACUACGUACACCACCCGUGCGGCCAAACGAAUCGGUUGUCACUCACAGCUGCGGGAACAAGGGGCACACUCAGGUUCGCUGCGGGGGGUGUCGACAGCACCGAGGUCUCCAGCGCCUCGACCGCGUUCACAGGCCGAUCCUCCAGAACCUUCGCCAACGCUGCUUUAAGGCCUUCAUAGAUUGAUGCGCCUUGUGUUGUCUUCACUUGCUGCAGGAAGGCCAGAGCCUGGCCCACAUCCGCGGCCAUGGCGCCCGGCCUGGUAAGAUGACUAGUAGUCUAGGCUACUGUGAUAAGGUGGCGAAACUGCGAUUCGUGGAAUUAGGCGUAGACGAAGCAAUCGAGAGUAUUCAAGCUUUUGAUAUUCAAGGCAAGGAAAAGCUGCUGGUUUAUAUUCCUGUUGCAAAGACAGUUUAUUGCACGUAAUUGAAUAGCAGUGCAUGAACAUGCCUAUAGUGCUGGGGCUCGUCAAUCCAAGUUUGUGAGUGAGUCCAGGGAACCGAUGCCCGCAGGUGCAGACUCGAGGUUGGACAUAAACCUAGAGACCGAACUCAUGCCGAUUGGCAUCAUGCAGCUUGGGCUUAGAGAGCUGCACUCGCCGACACGCUCCUCGCGACACGUCCCUCCGCACCGAGCUUGUUGGCAAGCUGGUGCACCCCCCGGAGGGCAUCUCUCACAGCAGCGAUUCUGUCCAGAAAUGACUGUUAAGGACUGGUGAAGUUGCCGUCGUGAAUCUUGUGUGCUUGUACGUGGCAUCUGCUGUGCUUCAAGGUGCAGAUUGUCGCCCCCCGACCCGCAAACACUGUGUUACUGAUGCAACUCCUUGUUUGGCAUUCCCUCAUGAACUGCCAUGUAUUUACAGUGUUCUGCCUUCUUCUCCUCAUCGCAUUUCCAUCCAGUUCAGAGCGCACCGGCAGGUCUUGCACUGACCCCGUGCAGUCUCGUCCCCGAAACGUUGACGUGCAGCCCAGGAAUACCACCAUCAGCCUUACUUCAUUCCCUGACUUGGUGGUCCCUGCUUGCAAAACUCUCGGCCACAGUGCUACCCCUCCCACGCAGUGCACUUCUCACGGUCUCACCAAGUAAAGACCCUGACCAACCAUUUAGACCAUGCAUCAUCAGCAUAACCCCACGCGUCCAUACACCGGCACAGGCCGCGCGAUCCCCUCUGCUUCUGCGACCAUGUGCGCCCCACGUUCCCCACAGCCACCACCGCCUACUCGUCCGCCUCGGCCUCCUCCUCCGGCGGCGGCGGUGCGGGCUUGAGCUCCAGCUCCUGCGUCUCCACCUCGCCCCACGCAAACUCCUGUGCCACAGGGGGCGGCGGCAGCGGCACGAACGGCGCGUUCUUGACGCCCCAGCCCACGUACACGCAUGUCCACUCGCUGCCGCGGCCGCCGCAAACCGCGCCCGGCCACACCAGGCUGCGCAGCCCGCCCGCCUGCGUCUUGACCGCCUCGCUGGCGCUGCUGUAGAUGGGUGUCCAGGCGGCCUGCUCGCCGGGCAGCUGCGCGUCCUCCUCCAGGGCCGCCAGCAGGUCGGGCCCCUCCUCCAGCUCGUCCUCGUUGUAGAACUCGUCCUCGUCCGCGUCCUCGGGCAGCUCGCGCUUGUGCACCUCGCAGCGGCCCUGGCUCUUCAGGUGCGGCCGGCUGCGACCGAGACAAGACAAGAGAGGGCACGAGUAUAGCCAUCAGCCGUUUUUAGUGUGGAUCACGGCAGAUACAAGAGUGCAUCGCAGCGGAUCGCCCCACCCUUCGGCUUUCAAGGACACCUCACAUGCUUCAUGCGGCACUGUAACUGUAACUACAGCCGAGGCGUGCAUGUUCCAGCACGCAUGCCGCCCCUCCCGUGCUCUCUCCCUCCGUUCAGACUCACACGUGCACCCAGGCGGUGGGCGCGGCCAUCUCGCGGCCUGCGGGCGGCUCCCAGUCCUCCGCCCGCUCCAGCUCGCCGGUCUCGUCGUUGAGCGAGAACAGGUCGGAGGGCGCCACCACGGUGGCGGCGCUGAUGCGCGCAAUGAGGGCGCGCAGGUAGUUGGCCUCGUUGCCGGGGAAGGCGGGGUAGGUGGACACAUGGCUGGUGAGGCGGCCGGUGAGCAGCUUUUUGAUUCGGCGGCUGGCUUUGACCUGGGAGGUGAAGACGCGAGGUAGCAAGAUAUUAAUGUGCGUGAGAGCGAGAGAGCUUGAGGCGCAAUGGACAUAGGCGCGAGGACGUGCCGCUAUUUCAAGUCUGUUGCGGUAGUAAGGCACGGCCGCUCAUGGCCGCCCAACGCACCUGC